GCCUGGGUGGCUCAGUCGGUUGAGCGUCCGACUUCAGCUCAGGUCACGAUCUCGCGGUCCGCGAGUUCGAGCCCCGUGUCAGGCU
This 85-nucleotide transfer RNA is filed under the name Felis catus (domestic cat). It matches the Rfam family "tRNA". From Rfam's summary of the family: Transfer RNA (tRNA) molecules are approximately 80 nucleotides in length. Their secondary structure includes four short double-helical elements and three loops (D, anti-codon, and T loops). The record is from Rfam by way of RNAcentral. Lineage: Eukaryota; Metazoa; Chordata; Mammalia; Carnivora; Felidae.